UUCCGUCUCGCCCAUCCCUUUGCUCCAUAUCGAUUCAUGAUUAUUGAGCAAUGCGCAUGUGCGGGACGGAU
This 71-nucleotide microRNA precursor is filed under the name Caenorhabditis japonica. RNAcentral's name for it is "mir-233 microRNA precursor family". It matches the Rfam family "mir-233 microRNA precursor family". Lineage: Eukaryota; Metazoa; Nematoda; Chromadorea; Rhabditida; Rhabditidae. The record is from Rfam by way of RNAcentral.